CAGUCGCCGCGGUAAUACGAGGGGUGCAAGCGUUAUUCGGAUUGAUUGGGUGUAGAGGGUGUGCAGACGGCUUAUUAAGUCACUUGUUAAAUUCUUCGGCCUAACUGAAGGUCUGCAAGUGAUACCGAUGAGCUAGAGGGUGGAAGAGAGAAGUGGAAUUCUCGGAGUAGCGGUAAAAUGCGUAGAUCUCGAGAGGAACACCAAUAGCGAAGGCAGCUUCUUGGUCCAUUCCUGACGCUCAUACACGAAAGCGUGGGGAGCGAACAGGAUUAGAUACCCCAGUAGUCCCUGUCUCUUAUAC
RNAcentral lists this ribosomal RNA (301 nucleotides) under uncultured bacterium. RNAcentral describes it as "partial 16S ribosomal RNA". It matches the Rfam family "Bacterial small subunit ribosomal RNA", at positions 509 to 807 of the family's 1533-position model. The record is from RNAcentral.